UCAGCCGAUACCGAGUCUCAACGUCACACGAACUCGGUUCGUUCUUUCCUGUACCACUAGUAUUUUUUUCGUGUUUCUGCGCCCCCCACAGCCUCCACACGCUUUCCCCCAAAUCGCCGCCGCCAUGGAGAAGGAGAAGAAGCUGUCCUUCUCCAUCCCUUCCAAGCUCAGGCCGCCCAAGCCGCCCCGCCCCGCCGCCGGCGCUGAUUCCUCCGCCGCCAGCGGCAACUCCGCUUCCGCGGCCGCUGCCCCCGCCCAGCAAUUCGUCACCGAGUUCGAUCCGUCGCAAACCCUAGCCGCCGGCGCCGCGUCCGCCGUCAUCGCGCCCCUCCCCAACUCCGGCCACUUCCUCAACCACCGCUCCCGCAAACCCUCCUCCCUCCCGACCCCCGAGGAGGAGGCCGCGCUUGCCGCCUCCACCGCCGGUGGCCCCACAUUCGUGCUCGACACCUCCGAGGCCCCCGACAACCCCUCCUCCCACAUAGGCUAUGGCCUCACCCGACGCGGCGCCGACGCCGACGCUGAGGCUGACGCCACGGAGCCGGGUAAGACGCAGUCUUCCAAGGAAUCAGAGAAGAAGUCGACCUCUCCAGCCAGAGAUGGCGGCUCCAGCGGUGACCUUAUGCUGCGACGGUACAAGGAAGACAUGGCCAGCCUCCCGGACCACCGUGGUAUAGACGAGUUUGAGGAGGUGCCUGUGGAGGGCUUCGGUGCUGCUCUCCUUGCUGGUUACGGCUGGUCGGAAGGCAAAGGGCUCGGCCGCAAUAACAAGGAAGAUACCAAGGUUGUUGAGUAUAACCGCCGUGCCGGUACGCUGGGAUUAGGCUACGACCCUUCUGAGGCAGAUCCUAAGAAGACUCGCUCCGGCGACUGGGUUAUUGGUGGAAAGAAGCCGACAGAGAAUGGUGGAAAGAAGUCCGCCGAGAAUGGAAAUGCAAAGAAGAGAGAUAGGGACAAGGAAGACAGAGUCCGGGAGAGGGAUUCAAGUUCCCGACAGAAGAGAUCUGGUGAUCUUAGGGCCGAGAGGGAGGUUCGAGAGAAAGAGAGAAAAUCUCGGGAUAGUCGAGAAGAAAAGAGUAGCCGCGAUGUUGGUAACAAAGUGCGCUGGUUACAGAGCAAUAUUAGGGUUAGAGUGGUUAAUGAGAGGUUCAGCAGAAGGUUGUACCUGCAGAAGGCAAAAAUUGUUGAUGUGGUUGGACCAACGACAUGUGACAUAAUGAUGGAUGAUGGGUCAGAGCUUGUGCAGGGGGUGGAGCAGGAUAUGCUUGAAACAGUCCUGCCACGGACAAACGGGCAAGUGCUUGUGCUCUGUGGGAAGCACAAGGGGGUGUAUGGGCAUCUGGUAGAGAAGAAUUCAGAGGCAGAGACUGCAGUAGUGGAGGAUGCCGAUACAAAAGACAUGGUGCGUGUGAAAUAUGAUCAGAUUGCAGAGUACGUUGGGGACCCAGAAUUGCUUGGGCAUUGAUUAUUUCUUCUUGAGGAGGGGACAUCUGUUUUCCAGGAGCUCUUCUAAUGUGCGGUGCGACAAACGAGCCAGAUGGUUGGGACUGGCACCAGGCGUAGGGGGCUUUGGUACAUGGACCAGGAGGUGCAGCCAGACUUGGUGUGUGCUGUGACCACGGAGGACAAGGAGAAGUAGGCGAUGAUCCAUCACUGUAGGAUGGGGCAUGUAUCUUUUGAUAAGAUGAGUAGAAUAUUUCCAGAUCUUAUGUGUGGAAUAGGCAAGGGCAAGUUGACAUGUGAUGCUUGCGAAUAUGCAAAACACACACGAGCCUCAUAUGUGAGUAAGGGGCUUAGGAGCAUAUCUCCUUUUAUGCUUAUUCAUUCGGAUGUAUGGACGAGCCCGGUAGUGUCAAUGAAUGGAAAGAAGUAUUUUGCUACCUUUAUUGACUGCUAUUCUCGUAUGACUUGGAUUUACUUGAUGCGUCACAAUGAUGAGGUGUUUAGCUGUUUUCAGAACUUCCAUGCUCUUGUAAAGAACCAGUUUCAGGUACAGGUCAAGGUGCUCAUGACUGACAAUGGCACAGAGUAUGUGAACAACAAUUUUGGGGCUUUCAUGGCUGACCAAGGGAUUCUUCAUCAAACUUCAUGCCCGGACACCCCACCUCAGAAUGGAGUGGCCGAAAGGAAAAAUCGUCAUAUUCUUGAGGUUGCUCGGUCGUUGAUGUUUACCAUGAAUGUGCCUAAAUUCUUAUGGGAUGAAGCAGUUAUGACAGCCACAUACCUGAUCAACCGGACACCUUCUAGGAUACUAGGUAUGAAAUCUCCAUCUGAGUUGCUCGUUGGAGAUAAUAAGUUUGUUGUUUCCCCCAAGCUGUUUGGCAGUACCUGCUUUGUUCGUGAUCAUCGACCAUCUGUUGGAAAGCUUGAUCCUCGAGCUGUGAAGUGUGUCUUUCUGGGAUACUCUUCUAGCCAGCAGGGGUAUAAAUGUUGGUGUCCCUCUGAAAAACGCAGAGCUUGACCACCUGCACCCUGUGCACGAUGGUAAGAGGGGGAGAAGGAUGCGUCUCGUACUCAUGAUGAUUCUGUGGGCAUUAACACUGAUAAUGAUGUGCAAGUUCAGGUCCAACCAAUUGUGGGUAGAAUUCCAGUUAGUACUCUCACCGAUGAUGAUGUGCAGGUUCAUGUCUAGCCAACUGUGGAUACACUUAAGUUUGGUGCUCUCCAGGUUCCUGUUCGGGAUCGAUGGCAGACGAAUACCCUGGUGUACUCUCGACGGCAACCACACGUGCAGGGGGAGCGGCAAGGCAGUGAGGCAAGAGUGCAGGGUGAGCAGCAAGGCAGUGAGGCAAGCUCAUCUAACACAGUGGAGCUGCCCAUUGUGUUGCGAAAGGCUACACGUGAAGCGGCAAGGAAGGGUGAAGUAGCAAGGAAGGCUCUACCAAAGGAUGAUGCUUGUGAUGACCUUGAUAUUGGAAAUUUUGUGUCUUAUAAGGCUUUGUCACCUUCAUAUAAGGCGUUUGUUGCCUCCCUUCAAACUGUGUCAAUCCCAAAGGAUUGGAAGGUUGCAAAGCAAGAUCCGAAGUGGCGUGAAGCGAUGAUAGAAGAGUUGGAAGCACUGAGAAAAAACAAGACGUGGGUGCUAACCACGUUGCCAGCAGAAAAGAAAGCAGUGAGUUGUAAGUGGAUCUAUACAGUGAAGCAGAAUCCUGAGGGGAAGGUGGAACGGUACAAGGCUAGAUUGGUCGCCAGAGGAUAUAGUCAAACUUAUGGAAUUGACUAUGAUGAAACAUUUGCUCCCGUGGCAAAGAUGAACACAGUAAGGAUAUUGGUCUCAUGUGCUGCAAACUUUGGGUGGAAGUUGCAUCAAUUAGAUGUCAAGAAUGCCUUCUUGCAUGGUGAGUUGCAGGAAGAAGUGUACAUGGAGAUACCACCAGGUUUUGGUACUUCAGAGACCACGGGGAAGGUAUGCAGGCUGAAGAAAUCCUUGUAUGGACUGAAGCAAUCACCAAGGGCAUGGUUUGAUAGGUUCAGACGUGCCAUCCGUGGUAUGGGGUAUGGUCAGUGUAACGGUGACCACACGAUGUUCUACAGGCACUCCGAUCGGAAGAUCACCAUCCUUGCUGUUUAUGUGGAUGACAUUAUCAUCACUGGAGAUGAUAAGGAGGAAUACAGAGAUUGAAGGGCUGUCUAAGCAAGGAGUUUGAGGUAAAGGAUUUGGGCAACUUGAAAUACUCCCUUGUCAUUGAAGUUGCUCGGACAGAGAAGGGAAUCUCUAUGUGCCAACGAAAAUACACCUUGGAUCUCUUGAGUGACAUGGGCAUGAUGGGGUGUCGUGCUGCCCCUACUCCGAUUGAACAAAAUCAUCAAGUGAUAGCACAAUCAGGAGAGCUAGUGAAUAAGGAAGAUUAUCAGAAAUUGGUUGGGAGGUUAUUGUACUUGUGUCAUACCAGGCCUGACAUUACAUAUGCCGUCGGGGUGGUGAGCAGAUACAUGCAUGAACCAAGGAGUGGGCAUCUUGAUAUUGUGCAGAGAAUCCUGAGAUACUUGAAGGGGACUCCGGGUAAAGGGUUGUGGUUUGGGAAGAGUGGACAUCUUGAGGUGGAUGGCUAUAGUGACUCUGACUGGGCCAGUUGUCAAGAUGAUAGAAGAUCCACUUCUGGCUACUGCGUGUUUGUGGGAGGAAAUUUGGUGUCUUGGAGAAGCAAGAAACAGCCGGUUGUGUCUAGAUCAACAGCAGAAGCUGAGUAUAGAGCAUUAUCUCAAAGGUUGUGUGAGAUGCUCUGGGUGAAGUACCUACUGAGUGAGUUGAAACUUCUGAGGAAGGGACCCUUGAAGGUGUGGUGUGACAAUCAGUCAGCUAUAGCCAUUGCUAAUAACCCAGUUCAACAUGAUAGGACAAAGCAUGUGGAAAUUGAUCGCUUCUUCAUUAAGGAGAAACUUGAUGCUGGGAUCAUCAGCCUUACUCAUGUCAGCUCUGGGCAGCAGUUUGCAGAUUGCUUGACAAAGGGACUGGGAACAAAGGACUGUAACUUGGCGUGUGACAAGAUGGGAAUGAUAGAUAUCUACCACCCAUCUUGAGGGGGAGUGUUGAACCGGUAUGGGCCCAAGCCCAUCUACUUAUCACUUAGGGCCCAAGCCCAUGUGGAGGUGGACCUAGAAAGGGGCAUCCAGCUCUCCCGUUCCCAGAAGAGCCGCCAUACACGAGAGAGACCUCACGCAGGACACAAGACACCAUGAGCUCUCCUGUCUGAAGGUUGAUGACUUUUCUCCUAUAGUGCCUACUGCUGAAGAUCACAAUGGAAAUACAGAGCACCUGACAAACAAGUUUCCAGACGACAGGCUUGGCGACCGAUAUUUACAGGUGCUCUGCUUUUAUGUAUGAUGUGACAUAUGAUGCCCUGUUUCCAGUUUGUGCAUAGCACUGUUUCAAUCAGUCUCAAUUCCAACACAAUUUACAUGCCAACCUAUUCUAUGUGAGGAGUCUUGAUCAUCUUCGGAGUGGUAGCUUUGUUCUUUGUGGUAUCAUCACUUUGUGCAUGCGAUGAUCUGAUGGCGGCUGUGGUUAGAGGUGUUGCGCAGUAUGCAAAUAUCACUUUGGUCUACCAGUCAAGAUGUGAGAUGACAUGGUUCACUGAUACUCAGGUUGAGAAACAAUUUUCUUUCCAGCAUGGUAGUUGGGAAAACAAACUGGACUCUGUAAAUCAGGGACAUGAUACACAUUUGCUUUGGUCCUAAGCUUCAGUGUGUAAAAAAUUACCAGUGUUGCAAAAUUGUAAACUCUUGUAUCGAUGUAUAACCGGAUGGUUAGCUGAAUGGAUAUCAAUUGAAGUCA
This is an RNA transcript of Triticum aestivum (bread wheat), 5275 nucleotides long. It is a transcript of the gene named protein MOS2, with no coding region annotated. The record is from RefSeq and is a predicted model, not a curated record. Lineage: Eukaryota; Viridiplantae; Streptophyta; Magnoliopsida; Poales; Poaceae. The transcript is spliced from 4 exons.